This 614-nucleotide ribosomal RNA is filed under the name Philonema oncorhynchi. Its description in RNAcentral is "SSU rRNA". It matches the Rfam family "Eukaryotic small subunit ribosomal RNA", at positions 274 to 893 of the family's 1831-position model. The record is from RNAcentral. Lineage: Eukaryota; Metazoa; Nematoda; Chromadorea; Rhabditida; Philometridae.
GGGUCUUGCACCGGCGACAUAUCUAUCAAGUGUCUGCCUUAUCAACUUUCGAUGGUAGUUUAUGUGCCUACCAUGGUUGUAACGGGUAACGGAGAAUAAGGGUUCGACUCCGGAGAGGGAGCCUGAGAAACGGCUACCACUUCCAAGGAAGGCAGCAGGCGCGCAAAUUACCCACUCUCAGCGUGAGGANGUAGUGACGAAAAAUAACGAGACCGUACUCAAUGAGGCCGGUUAUCGGAAUGGGUACAAUUUAAACCCGUUAACGGAGGAUCUAUGAGAGGGCAAGUCUGGUGCCAGCAGCCGCGGUAAUUCCAGCUCUCAAAGUGUAUAUCGCCAUUGCUGCGGUUAAAAAGCUCGUAGUUGGAUAUACGCCUUACGAUUCGGUCCAUCUAUUGGAUGUGAACUGAACUCGUUGGUUAAUUUAUUAUAUGCUGGUUUUCCCUACGUAGCCUUAGUCGGUUGCGUAGGGUGACUAGCGCGUUUACUUUGAAAAAAUUAGAGUGCUCAACGCGGGCUAACGCCUGAGUACUCGUGCAUGGAAUAAUGGAAUAGGAUCUCGGUUCUAUUUUGGGUUUUCUGAUCUGUGAUGGUUAAGGGGACAGACGGGGGCAUUC